UCUUCUCACAGAAAGGAUGCAGAAUCUCCUUCAAUCUCAUAAUGAACACAUCUUGGCUAUAAAGGAUUUGGGAGGCAACGUAGAUUUCUACCAACUGAAGAAAGCUAUGCUGAAUAGGUUAUUCCCCAUUCGAUUCCACCAUAUAGGAACAAGUGCUUACCUGCAUGUUAUUCAAUUGUCCUUGGAACAUAAAAGAGACAAGAAAUUCAUUCUUGAGAAUCAUCCAUGGACAGUAGUACAACAUGUGGUUUUAGUUGAAGACUAGAGUUUAUUCAUCAAACAUCCCAAAGACUGAUUUAGGUUUGCUUCUUUCUGGUUUCAAGUUCUCAAUCAGCCAAGAUACUGGUCAGAUGAACAGUCGAUCCAGGAAUUAGUGGAAAAAUCGAAAACGAGAACGGUACUACAAAUCGACCUUUCAAGCUCUCCUCAAAGAGUAUAUGUCAUGAUGGACCUCAACAAACCGUUCAUGCCAGGAGUAAUGUUAAAAAUUGGUACAGGCAUUGAACAAGCAAUGAACAACAAGCAGUUCCCCAACUACCCAUAUGGACGGCUCAACACAAGGAUGAAGGCAAUUUUCACAAAAACCCAAAGGAAUAACUACUUGCGGCACUAGCGGAAAAUACAAAAAAAAAGUCUGCCAAAAAUAGACUUAUAAUCAUUAAAAAGGACUGUGUUCGGGAGCCCUAAUAUUGUAGUCUUAUUUUCCAAAAAGACUGUGUCUGAAACACUAAAAAUUCUUUCAGUUACGACUACCUGCAUCAGUCUACAUAGUAACCAUGAUUGACACAGUUGUUUUGUCGGAUUAUAUUUUAUAAAAAAAAAA
This is a long non-coding RNA of Papaver somniferum (opium poppy), 823 nucleotides long. RefSeq lists it as uncharacterized. Lineage: Eukaryota; Viridiplantae; Streptophyta; Magnoliopsida; Ranunculales; Papaveraceae. The transcript is spliced from 2 exons. The record is from RefSeq and is a predicted model, not a curated record.